RNAcentral lists this ribosomal RNA (492 nucleotides) under uncultured bacterium. RNAcentral describes it as "partial 16S ribosomal RNA". It matches the Rfam family "Bacterial small subunit ribosomal RNA", at positions 29 to 507 of the family's 1533-position model. The record is from RNAcentral.
AGUGAACGCUGGCGGUAGGCCUAACACAUGCAAGUCGAACGGCAGCACAGUAAGAGCUUGCUCUUACGGGUGGCGAGUGGCGGACGAGUGAGGAAUACAUCGGAAUCUACUUUUUCGUGGGGGAUAACGUAGGGAAACUUACGCUAAUACCGCAUACGACCUACGGGUGAAAGCAGGGGAUCUUCGGACCUUGCGCGAUUGAAUGAGCCGAUGUCGGAUUAGCUAGUUGGCGGGGUAAAGGCCCACCAAGGCGACGAUCCGUAGCUGGUCUGAGAGGAUGAUCAGCCACACUGGAACUGGAACACGGUCCAGACUCCUACGGGAGGCAGCAGUGGGGAAUAUUGGACAAUGGGCGCAAGCCUGAUCCAGCCAUACCGCGUGGGUGAAGAAGGCCUUCGGGUUGUAAAGCCCUUUUGUUGGGAAAGAAAAGCAGCAGGUUAAUACCCCGCUGUUCUGACGGUACCCAAAGAAUAAGCACCGGCUAACUUCGUG